This 465-nucleotide ribosomal RNA is filed under the name uncultured bacterium. Its description in RNAcentral is "bacterial SSU rRNA". It matches the Rfam family "Bacterial small subunit ribosomal RNA", at positions 338 to 795 of the family's 1533-position model. The record is from RNAcentral.
CCUACGGGGGGCACCAGUGGGGAAUAUUGCGCAAUGGGCGAAAGCCUGACGCAGCCAUGCCGCGUGUGUGAAGAAGGCCCUAGGGUUGUAAAGCACUUUCAUUAGUGAGGAAAGGUUCGUAGUUAAUACCUGCGAGCUGUGACGUUAACUAAAGAAGAAGCACCGGCUAACUCCGUGCCAGCAGCCGCGGUAAUACGGAGGAUGCGAGCGUUAAUCGGAAUGACUGGGCGUAAAGCGCGCGUAGGUGGUUUGUUAAGUUGGAUGUGAAAGCCCAGGGCUUAACCUUGGAAUUGCAUCCAAAACUGGCAGGCUAGAGUACAGUAGAGGGAGGUAGAAUUUCCGGUGUAGCGGUGAAAUGCGUAGAGAUCGGAAAGAAUACCGGUGGCGAAGGCGGCCUCCUGGACUGAUACUGACACUGAUGUGCGAAAGCGUGGGUAGCGAACAGGAUUAGAUACCCCCGUAGUC